This 253-nucleotide ribosomal RNA is filed under the name uncultured bacterium. Its description in RNAcentral is "partial 16S ribosomal RNA". It matches the Rfam family "Bacterial small subunit ribosomal RNA", at positions 524 to 776 of the family's 1533-position model. The record is from RNAcentral.
CACGGGGGGAGCAAGCGUUGUUCGGAAUCACUGGGCGUAAAGGGCGUGUAGGCGGUCAAGUAAGUGGAAUGUGAAACGCCUCGGCUUACCCGAGGACCUGCAUCCCAAACUGCUUGGCUUGAGUAUGGGAGAGGAUGAGGGAAUUCCUGGUGUAGCGGUGAAAUGCGUAGAUAUCAGGAGGAGCACCGGUGGCGAAAGCGGCUGCCUGGCCCAAUACUGACACUCAGGUGCGACAGCGUGGGGAGCAAACAGG